Molecule: ribosomal RNA, 468 nt
Filed under: uncultured bacterium
Lineage: Bacteria
Description: partial 16S ribosomal RNA
Rfam family: Bacterial small subunit ribosomal RNA
Source: RNAcentral
GACGAACGCUGGCGGCGUGCUUAACACAUGCAAGUCGAACGGAAAGGCCCUGCUUUUGUGGGGUGCUCGAGUGGCGAACGAGUGAGUAACACGUGAGUAACCUGCCCUUGACUUUGGGAUAACUUCAGGAAACUGGGGCUAAUACCGGAUAGGAGCUCCUGCUGCAUGGUGGGGGUUGGAAAGUUUCGGCGGUUGGGGAUGGACUCGCGGCUUAUCAGCUUGUUGGUGGGGUAGUGGCUUACCAAGGCUUUGACGGGUAGCCGGCCUGAGAGGGUGACCGGCCACAUUGGGACUGAGAUACGGACCAGACUCCUACGGGAGGCAGCAGUGGGGAAUAUUGCACAAUGGGCGGAAGCCUGAUGCAGCAACGCCGCGUGCGGGAUGACGGCCUUCGGGUUGUAAACCGCUUUCGCCUGUGACGAAGCGUGAGUGACGGUAAUGGGUAAAGAAGCACCGGCUAACUACGUG